AUGGAGGCAUGGUGGACCCCGGCCCUUGCCGGGGGGAAGGAUCUUAUUACAUUUUUAGGUGUUUUUAUGAGUUUGUUUUGGGUUUGUGUCAUGCUCAAGAAGAUCAAGCGGUUGCAGCUUCUUGAAGAUGAAAUAAGGUUUUCCUCAUCUAGUCUUUCGGUGAUUCAUUUAGCGCCGUCAGAGGUCAUGUGGAGGCGUGUCUCCAGCGGAUCUCACAGGAUUUGGUUGGCGCUGGUCUUCGGUGGAUUUGUUUGGAUCGAGUCUUUGUUCGUGUGUCUAUAUGUUAGAUUCUUUCGAUCUAUACUUCUUUUCAUGGGUGAUGGUUGUUGA
RNAcentral lists this ribosomal RNA (330 nucleotides) under Triticum aestivum (bread wheat). Its description in RNAcentral is "partial small subunit ribosomal RNA". Lineage: Eukaryota; Viridiplantae; Streptophyta; Magnoliopsida; Poales; Poaceae. The record is from RNAcentral.